UUUUUUUUGUGGGCGGUGGUCGGCCGGUGAGUCUGGCUGAGUUAGGUGUUCCACUCGGGGGCGGCAGCGGCGGUGGAAGAUUGAAAUUUAAAGGUUGUAUUAUGGGGUUUUGGCAUCAGAUGAUUUUUCCGGUACGGCGGGUUUGGCUCGCCGUUUAUGGCCGUCUUAAAUCUCGCAAAAACGAUGAAGGACUUCUGAAGCUUCAUGACGAUGUAGAAACGUGUGGGUAUCAAGAUGUAAAGGUUAUGUGGGAAAUCCUGAGAAGAUCAGAAGCUGAGUUAAUAAAUCAACAUCCACAAACGAGACGCAAGCAGAAGCCAUUUUGGAAGGCUUUCCUGUGGUCUAACCCUAACUCUAACCCAUCCACUAAAAUACCAAAAAUCACAAGUUUUCCAACCUUCACCCCUGUUUCUGUUUCAUAGGGGACUCUUAAAAUGCCUCAAACAAAUAAUGUAAAAAUAUCUUAAUGUUGUAUUUUUGGCACUUUUAGGCCAUUUUGCGUCUACACAAAGUGAAUUGUUGUAAAUAGA
This 530-nucleotide unclassified non-coding RNA is filed under the name Hevea brasiliensis (rubber tree). Lineage: Eukaryota; Viridiplantae; Streptophyta; Magnoliopsida; Malpighiales; Euphorbiaceae. The record is from RNAcentral.